UACAGGGGGGGCAAGCGUUGUUCGGAAUUACUGGGCGUAAAGGGCUCGUAGGUGGCCAACUAAGUCAGACGUGAAAUCCCUCAGCUUAACUGGGGAACUGCGUCUGAUACUGGAUGGCUUGAGUUUGGGAGAGGUGAGUGGAACUGCGAGUGUAGAGGUGAAAUUCGUAGAUAUUCGCAAGAACACCAGUGGCGAAGGCGGCUCACUGGCCCGAUACUGACGCUGAGGCACGAAAGCGUGGGGAGCAAACAGG
This 253-nucleotide ribosomal RNA is filed under the name uncultured bacterium. RNAcentral's name for it is "partial 16S ribosomal RNA". It matches the Rfam family "Bacterial small subunit ribosomal RNA", at positions 524 to 776 of the family's 1533-position model. The record is from RNAcentral.